AGCCAGUUAUAUGGAGGGUUUCUUGCCCCUUUUGGAGAUUUAAGUUCUUCUGUUAGUGUUCAGUAGAUGUUCUGCAUGAAUUGUUCUAUAUGUAGAUUUUUUUAUGUGUUUGUAGGAAACGGUUAGCAACACAUCUUAUUCCUUUGCCAACUUGACCCUGCCUCUAAAAGGAAUAGAAAUUACAAAUUUUUAGAGGGCAAUUUAGCACUAUUAAUCUUUAAAAUCAGAAGUUUAAAUUUUAAACCUUUUAAACCCAGAAGUUCAAAUUUUAGGAUUUUUUUUAAAUACUGAACACACUUGUGCACAUUGAUAAGGUUAUAAGGUGGUCAUUUCAGUAUUGUUUAUCUUAGCAAAAACAUGGUAACCUAAAUAGCCAACAUAAGGUUAAUGAUUAAUGCAUAAUGAAACAUUCAUACCAUAGAAUACAAUAUAGCCACUAAAUUGAAUGAUGUAGAUUAAAAUCUCAUUAAGAAAUAAACUUGUGUUGGAGUUCCCAUUGCGGCACAGCAGAAACGAAUCCAACUAGUAACCAUGAGGUUGCAUGUUCCAUCCCUGGCCUCGUUCAGUGGGUUAAGGAUCUGGCAUUGCUGUGAGCUGUGGUAUAGGUUGCAGAUGUGGCUCAGAUCUGGCAUUGCUGUGGCUCUGGUGCAGGCCAGCAGGAACACCUUCAGUUAGACCCCUAGCCUGGGAACCUCCAUAGGCUGUAGGUGCAGCCAUAAAAAGACAAAAAGACAAAAAAUAAAAUAAAAUAAUAAACUUUAGGAGGCUGGUGGGCCCACUUCCCCUCAAAAACACAUAAAAAUUACAGCUGUAUAUAGAAUGACUCUUGCUGAAAUUGAUCUGGGACUAGCAGAACUCUUCUACAACCACAGUUAUAAAGAUCCACACCAAGUCUGGUAGGAAGGGAAGAGAAGAAAUCUGGUUGGGACCCACAGCACUAGUGGGGGAUAGAGUGAGGAGAGAAUAUAGGCCCAGGGAUCCUCCCUGUGGACUGAGGAGUUUGAGUUACAUGUUAGACACCCCAGCCCUGGGGUCAACAGGCAGCCAGCCCUGGGGUCAACACCAUGAAUAUGAACCCUCUUAGCUGGUCCGAAACCAGUGGGACUUAUCAGAGGGCUAUAAGAAACUGAGACUCUUAGUGGGGGGAGAGAUGGGCCAGGGAUUUGGGAUUGGCAUAUGCACACUGAAGCAUAUGGAAUCUUUAGCCAAUGGGGACCCGCUAUAUAACACAGAGAACUCUACCCAAUAUUCCUUGAUAAUCUACAUGGGAAAAAAAUCUGAAAGAGAAUGGGCGUCUGUAUAUGUGUGACUGAAUCACUUUGUUGUACAGCAGAAAUGAUCACAACCUUGUAAAUCAACUCUACUUCUAAACUCUUAGGUUCUAACUAAAGUUCUAAGUUUCUAAACUUGUAAAUUCUAACUAAACUUUUUAAAAUGAGAGAAAAAACAAGAUAGAAACUGGGACUCUGCUAUUAAAGAGCAUGCACACAGACUAGCGUACUCCCACUAAUGGCACUGAGUAGCAGACUGAAAAUUGCUUGGGGCUCUUACCACCCUUCCAGGGCUGCCCCAGAGCACUUCCCCAGCCCACACUGUGCUCCUGCUCCAGCCUCUCUUUCUCUGACACUGCUCUCCACUAAGAGGGAAGCUGCCAUUGCCAACAAUAAUUCACAUACUUGGAGGGAACAGAGCCAGCUGGCCCUGCCUCUGACCAGCAUGGAGGCAGCCAUUGCUAGCACAUGUUUUCCAACUGCAAACAAGUGAAAGUGAAU
Molecule: long non-coding RNA, 1772 nt
Filed under: Sus scrofa (pig)
Lineage: Eukaryota; Metazoa; Chordata; Mammalia; Artiodactyla; Suidae
Description: lncRNA (ENSSSCG00000062341.1)
Source: RNAcentral